Molecule: ribosomal RNA, 55 nt
Filed under: Enterocytozoon bieneusi
Lineage: Eukaryota; Fungi; Microsporidia; Enterocytozoonidae
Description: partial large subunit ribosomal RNA
Source: RNAcentral
GCAGUAGGGUGCCAUCAAGAGGUGUAUUUGGAAAUAUCCCUAAUACAGGAUCACU